This 464-nucleotide ribosomal RNA is filed under the name Vreelandella stevensii. RNAcentral describes it as "partial 16S ribosomal RNA". It matches the Rfam family "Bacterial small subunit ribosomal RNA", at positions 338 to 795 of the family's 1533-position model. Lineage: Bacteria; Pseudomonadati; Pseudomonadota; Gammaproteobacteria; Oceanospirillales; Halomonadaceae. The record is from RNAcentral.
CCUACGGGAGGCUGCAGUGGGGAAUAUUGGACAAUGGGCGAAAGCCUGAUCCAGCCAUGCCGCGUGUGUGAAGAAGGCCUUCGGGUUGUAAAGCACUUUCAGUGGGGAAGAAAGCCUUGGGGCUAAUACCCUCGAGGAAGGACAUCACCCACAGAAGAAGCACCGGCUAACUCCGUGCCAGCAGCCGCGGUAAUACGGAGGGUGCGAGCGUUAAUCGGAAUUACUGGGCGUAAAGCGCGCGUAGGCGGUCUGAUAAGCCGGUUGUGAAAGCCCCGGGCUCAACCUGGGAACGGCAUCCGGAACUGUCAGGCUAGAGUGCAGGAGAGGAAGGUAGAAUUCCCGGUGUAGCGGUGAAAUGCGUAGAGAUCGGGAGGAAUACCAGUGGAGAAGGCGGCCUUCUGGACUGACACUGACGCUGAGGUGCGAAAGCGUGGGUAGCAAACAGGAUUAGAUACCCUUGUGUC